Molecule: long non-coding RNA, 2199 nt
Organism: Protopterus annectens (West African lungfish)
Lineage: Eukaryota; Metazoa; Chordata; Ceratodontiformes; Protopteridae
Exons: 3
Source: RefSeq, a predicted model, not a curated record
UAAAUGUAAAAAUGGCACUGAGCAUUAUUUGAGUCACCAUGGAUGUAGGACAAAUGCCAGCAUGUCCUUUCCGUGGACACCUAUGAGUAUGCAAGCAAGAGGGAAGGGUUGAGAUAUAAAGCAAAAACACUUCUUGGCAACGAUAUGAUAAUUCUCUAGGUGACUUGAUCUCCUUACCAUCCCUGAAUAUGGUUUUGGAAUAAGUCUGGUAGAGGUAGAGAGCCCAGUAGAUCCAGUGAAGGAGAAAAGAUCCUGGAGUAGCUGAUGAUUGCCUGUGAGGAGCCAAAAAAAAAAUACUUUGCAUUUAGAUCAGGAAGAGUUCCAUACAGUCAGCAAACUGUCAGAGCUGAUUGUGACCCACAUCAACAGCUACUUAUUGCACAUUAAAUUAAAGAAAACAAACAAAAAUCUAGGAAAGUGAGAUAAGAGCAUAAUAAUAUUCCAAAUGAAUAUGUAAUGGUGGUGAGGAAUAGGUAUUAGACCUGGUGGAAUGAGUACCUCAAGAAAUAUGGACAGAAGUUUGUGAUCUUAUCCAGGAGGUAGCAUCAAAAAUAUUCCAAAUAGAAAGAAGAUUAAGAAAGCAAAAUGACCAUCUGUGGAACAAAGGCGCCCGCAGGCAGGUGCAAGGGGGUGCACUUGCACCCGCCUGGAAUAUGCUGACUAGUUAAUCUUUUCAUUUAAAAUUUAAAAAAAAAGUUAUUUGGGCAUUCUUCUUUAAGAAGCCCUUCAAGUCCAGGCGCAGAUGCUGACAUCAUCGACAUCGCGCGGUGCACAGUUUGCGAGCAGGAACUGAAACGGACGGUUUCAGAUGGGUUUACUUUACCUGCGAGGAGGACUUCACUGAAGAUAACAGACGGAGUAAGUGAACUUCUUGAUGCUAACCUUUCCAGGCUAAGAGUAAAAAGAGAGAGAAAUUAGAGAGUGGCAGGGAGCUUGACAUAUGAGGUGACUGGCAGCUGGCUGAAAACAAUGUUAUAGUCAUCAGUUUGGUGAACUGCGGUUUAUCAGGUACCUGAUUGUCACUGCUAUAGUGAACUGCACAGCCUUGCCACCUCGCAUUUGUCAUUGUGACAGCUCAUCUAAAGAAUGAAAACUGAGGCAGUAUUUUAUCUUGCAUUAAACCAAAGCCUAAACUGUGCAGGAAUAAAAGUGGCAAGUACUGUUGUUUACGUCUCCCAAUUUUGAUGCAAACCUUUUUUUAAUGUAAAAAAUGUUUCAGAGUGUUUCCUAAUGUUGUCUUGAAUAUUUUCUCAGAUUAUGGCCCCAUCGGUAUUUCAUCUCAAAGUUUCUGCUCAUGGAAGCCUGGCGACCUUGUGACCUGUACAGUGCAAAAGGCCACAUUUGUAAACCUUGUAAGAUGUCAGAAAGAGACGUGCUAGUACUUACUGCAUUUUACACAGACACACAUUUUUGUUUCUUAGCUGAAAGUGUACUAGGCUCACUAUCAGUAACUGCAAUACAGGAGAAUCAGCACUAACCAACCAGUUAUCUCACCCACUAAAUUUGUAAGAAAUCAACAUAUAUCUGUUUGCUAUACCAGCCAGAAGGCACUACACACAAAAGCUGUACAUGGUAGGCUUUUUGAAGGUAACUCUUCACAUAUCAGUCUAAUAUUUUCAGGCAAACCCGCCUUGCUCCUUAUGACUGGAAAACAAGCCCUAAUCAUAGAGGGCAAACAAGGUGGAGUCACCAUUUUGAGUUGUGACAGGAUUCAAGGCACAAAGACUUCAUAUCUACUUCAAUAGUUUGUUUCCUUUAUUCUACUUGUAACGAUAUCAUGAACAGAAAUAUUUACAAAAAUCUCCUUUGUUAAUUAUUUCUUCUCUAGUGGUUACAUUUGGGUCAAUUAUAUUUUGACAGUUUCUUAGUGGCUUGCAGGAUUAACUGGGUGCUUUAACAUUUACAAUUUCUUUUUUACACUGGACAUUUAGAAUGAAAACAUCUUUCCAGCCUGUAUUAGUUUACUUUUUAUGGUUUUGACCUUGCUCUCUGUUUAAAUUCCACUUUAGUUCGAGAUAUUAAUAGUAACCAUAUGCAGUACAUCAAUGGACAUUUCACAUAGUGUGCUCUCAACACUACAUUGUAUUUAUUUUUUUAAUAAGCAGCAGCUAUGUGUAACGGACUCUCAAGGCAACUAGAAGGAUAGAUGUUUCUUCUAAGACAUUUUUCUCACAGUACAUUAAACUAAUAUAAACUACA